CCUACGGGAGGCAGCAGUGGGGAAUAUUGCACAAUGGGGGAAACCCUGAUGCAGCAACGCCGCGUGAGUGAAGAAGUAUUUCGGUAUGUAAAGCUCUAUCAGCAGGGAAUAAUACAGACGGUACCUGACUAAGAAGCUCCGGCUAACUACGUUCCAUCAGCCGCGGUAAUACUUAGGGGGCAAGCGUUAUCCGGAUGUACUGGGUGUAAAGGGAGCAUAGACGGCUGUGCAAGUCUGAAGUGAAAGCCCGUGGCUCAACCGCGGAACUGCUUUGGAAACUGUAUAGCUGGAGUACUGGAGAGGCAGGCGGAAUUCCUAGUGUAGCGGGGAAAAGCGUAGAUAGUAGGAGGAACACCAGUGGCGAAGGCGGCCUGCUGGACAGAAACUGACGUUGAGGCUCUAAAGCGUGGGGAGCAAACAGGAUUAGAUACCCCGGUAGUC
Molecule: ribosomal RNA, 441 nt
Filed under: uncultured bacterium
Lineage: Bacteria
Description: partial 16S ribosomal RNA
Rfam family: Bacterial small subunit ribosomal RNA
Source: RNAcentral